Molecule: long non-coding RNA, 326 nt
Organism: Oncorhynchus tshawytscha (Chinook salmon)
Lineage: Eukaryota; Metazoa; Chordata; Actinopteri; Salmoniformes; Salmonidae
Source: Ensembl
CAAUAACCAAGGGUCAAAAUAACCAUACAUUGAACAAUAACAAUAAGCAUACAGAAGAGGACAUGUGCAGGUUGAUUGGUCUGUCAGACAUGGUCCCUCAUCUUAUGGCAGGCAGCAAUGUAGUGUGCUGCCAACCCACAGCUCUCUGCGUCCUCCCCCAACAGGACGGGUAGCCUAUUCUCAUCAGAGAGGUCUCUCUGCGUCCUCCCCCAACAGGACGGGUAGCCUACUCUCAUCAGAGAGGUCUCUCUGCGUCCUCCCCCAACAGGACGGGUAGCCUACUCUCAUCAGAGAGGUCUCUCUGCGUCCUCCCCCAACAGGACGGG